This 460-nucleotide ribosomal RNA is filed under the name uncultured bacterium. RNAcentral's name for it is "partial 16S ribosomal RNA". It matches the Rfam family "Bacterial small subunit ribosomal RNA", at positions 338 to 795 of the family's 1533-position model. The record is from RNAcentral.
CCUACGGGUGGCAGCAGUGAGGAAUAUUGGUCAAUGGACGAGAGUCUGAACCAGCCAAGUAGCGUGAAGGAUGACUGCCCUAUGGGUUGUAAACCUCUUUUAUAAAGGAAUAAAACGAGGCACGUGUGCCGUUUUGCAUGUACUUUAUGAAUAAGGAUCGGCUAACUCCGUGCCAGCAGCCGCGGUAAUACGGAGGAUCCGAGCGUUAUCCGGAUUUAUUGGGUUUAAAGGGUGCGUAGAUGGGUUGUUAAGUCAGUUGUGAAAGUUUGCGGCUCAACCGUAAAAUUGCAAUUGAUACUGGCAGUCUUGAGUACAGUUGAAGUAAGCGGAAUGCGUGGUGUAGCGGUGAAAUGCUUAGAUAUCACGAAGAACCCCGAUUGCGAAGGCAGCUUACUAAACUGUGACUGACAUUGAUGCUCGAAAGUGUGGGUAUCAAACAGGAUUAGAUACCCUUGUAGUC